Molecule: long non-coding RNA, 288 nt
Filed under: Solanum tuberosum (potato)
Lineage: Eukaryota; Viridiplantae; Streptophyta; Magnoliopsida; Solanales; Solanaceae
Description: long non-coding RNA (STUB_LNC001847)
Source: RNAcentral
ACCGAAACCGGUCCUCGUUACCGGAUUUCCUUACCGGAACCGGGUCUUACCGGAACCGGUUUUACCGGAAAUUUCCAAAGGUUCCGUCCGGUCCCUUAGUUACCGGAUUGGAACCGGUUUGGACCGGACCGGAACCGGUUCUUACCGGAUCAUUGUGUACCGGUAAUUUUUUUUUAUUUUUUUAUUAACUUUAAUUAUUAUAUAAUAUUAUAUUAUUAAUUAAUAAAAUUAUAUUAUUAAAAAACUUCAAUUUAAAACUUCAAACUUUAAAGUUACUUUAAAGUUUCA